GAUGCUAAUACCGCAUAACAACGUUGUUCGCAUGAACAACGUUUCAAAGAUGGCCUCUGGCUAUCACUUCUGGAUGGACCUGCGGUGCAUUAGCUUGUUGGUGGGGUAAUGGCCUACCAAGGCGAUGAUGCAUAGCCGAGUUGAGAGACUGAUCGGCCACAAUGGGACUGAGACACGGCCCAUACUCCUACGGGAGGCAGCAGUAGGGAAUCUUCCACAAUGGGCGCAAGCCUGAUGGAGCAACACCGCGUGAGUGAAGAAGGGUUUCGGCUCGUAAAGCUCUGUUGUUAAAGAAGAACAUGCGUGAGAGUAACUGUUCACGCAUUGACGGUAUUUAACCAGAAAGUCACGGCUAACUACGUGCCAGCAGCCGCGGUAAUACGUAGGUGGCAAGCGUUAUCCGGAUUUAUUGGGCGUAAAGAGAGUGCAGGCGGUUUACUAAGUCUGAUGUGAAAGCCUUCGGCUUAACCGGAGAAGGGCAUCGGAAACUGGCUAACUUGAGUGCAGAAGAGGGUAGUGGAACUCCAUGUGUAGCGGUGGAAUGCGUAGAUAUAUGGAAGAACACCAGUGGCGAAGGCGGCUACCUGGUCUGUAACUGACGCUGAGACUCGAAAGCAUGGGUAACGAACAGGAUUAGAUACCCUGGUAGUCCAUGCCGUAAACGAUGAGUGCUAGGUGUUGGAGGGUUUCCGCCCUUCAGUGCCGGAGCUAACGCAUUAAGCACUCCGCCUGGGGAGUACGACCGCAAGGUUGAAACUCAAAGGAAUUGACGGGGGCCCGCACAAGCGGUGGAGCAUGUGGUUUAAUUCGAAGCUACGCGAAGAACCUUACCAGGUCUUGACAUCUUGCGCCAACCCUAGAGAUAGGGCGUUUCCUUCGGGAACGCAAUGACAGGUGGUGCAUGGUCGUCGUCAGCUCGUGUCGUGAGAUGUUGGGUUAAGUCCCGCAACGAGCGUAACCCUUGUUACUAGUUGCCAGCAUUCAGUUGGGCACUCUAGUGAGACUGCCGGUGACAAACCGGAGGAAGGUGGGGACGACGUCAGAUCAUCAUGCCCCUUAUGACCUGGGCUACACACGUGCUACAAUGGACGGUACAACGAGUCGCGAACUCGCGAGGGCAAGCAAAUCUCUGAAAACCGUUCUCAGUUCGGACUGCAGGCUGCAACUCGCCUGCACGAAGUCGGAAUCGCUAGUAAUCGCGGAUCAGCAUGCCGCGGUGAAUACGUUCCCGGGCCUUGCACACACCGCCCGUCA
RNAcentral lists this ribosomal RNA (1254 nucleotides) under uncultured bacterium. RNAcentral's name for it is "bacterial SSU rRNA". It matches the Rfam family "Bacterial small subunit ribosomal RNA", at positions 159 to 1399 of the family's 1533-position model. The record is from RNAcentral.